RNAcentral lists this ribosomal RNA (292 nucleotides) under uncultured bacterium. RNAcentral describes it as "partial 16S ribosomal RNA". It matches the Rfam family "Archaeal small subunit ribosomal RNA", at positions 455 to 747 of the family's 1478-position model. The record is from RNAcentral.
GUGUCAGCCGCCGCGGUAAUACCAGCACCCCGAGUGGUCGGGACGAUUAUUGGGCCUAAAGCAUCCGUAGCCGGUCAUGCAAGUCUUCCGUUAAAUCCAGCCGCUCAACGGUUGGGCUGCGGAGGAUACUACGUGGCUAGGAGGCGGGAGAGGCAAGCGGUACUCAGUGGGUAGGGGUAAAAUCCUUUGAUCCAUUGAAGACCACCAGUGGCGAAGGCGGCUUGCCAGAACGCGCUCGACGGUGAGGGAUGAAAGCUGGGGGAGCAAACCGGAUUAGAUACCCCCGUAGUCC